This 30-nucleotide non-coding RNA is filed under the name Rattus norvegicus (Norway rat). The record is from RNAcentral. Lineage: Eukaryota; Metazoa; Chordata; Mammalia; Rodentia; Muridae.
UGGGACCGUAACUGGACAAAGCUGCUGAGC